GAUGAACGCUGGCGGCGUGCCUAAUACAUGCAAGUCGAGCGAACAGACGAGGAGCUUGCUCCUCUGACGUUAGCGGCGGACGGGUGAGUAACACGUGGAUAACCUACCUAUAAGACUGGGAUAACUUCGGGAAACCGGAGCUAAUACCGGAUAAUAUAUUGAACCGCAUGGUUCAAUAGUGAAAGACGGUUUUGCUGUCACUUAUAGAUGGAUCCGCGCCGCAUUAGCUAGUUGGUAAGGUAACGGCUUACCAAGGCAACGAUGCGUAGCCGACCUGAGAGGGUGAUCGCCCACACUGGACCUGCGACACGGUCCAGCCUCCUACGGGAGGCAGCAGUAGGGAAUCUUCCGCAUUGGGCGAAAGCCUGACGGAGCAACGCCGCGUGAGUGAUGAAGGUCUUCGGAUCGUAAACCUCUGUUAUUAGGGAAGAACAAAUGUGUAAGUAACUAUGCACGUCUUGACGGUACCUAAUCAGAAAGCCACGGCUAACUACGUG
Molecule: ribosomal RNA, 497 nt
Filed under: uncultured bacterium
Lineage: Bacteria
Description: partial 16S ribosomal RNA
Rfam family: Bacterial small subunit ribosomal RNA
Source: RNAcentral